This 133-nucleotide small RNA is filed under the name Glaesserella parasuis. RNAcentral describes it as "partial 6S RNA". It matches the Rfam family "6S / SsrS RNA", at positions 50 to 187 of the family's 187-position model. From Rfam's summary of the family: E. coli 6S RNA was the first non coding RNA to be sequenced, but its function was unknown until recently. It consists of 184 nucleotides that fold into an extended hairpin structure with a large single-stranded internal bulge. Lineage: Bacteria; Pseudomonadati; Pseudomonadota; Gammaproteobacteria; Pasteurellales; Pasteurellaceae. The record is from RNAcentral.
AAACACUUUGAGUUGAGCUCUUAUAUCGUUGGUGAGCAGGCUCGUUUACGAGAAGCCUAAAAAUGAUAAUGUUCGACUCCCUUGAACCGUCUGGUUCAAGGACCACCACCGAUAACGGCACUUCGGGUCUUUU